GAUUCGCAGCUUUCUGUCGCCGGCAUUUAAAAUUUUGUGAUUUCUUUAAUAAAAAGCGAGUUUAAUGUAUACUAUAUUUGUUCGUAAACUCUUGUGUGUGGUAUCGCUGAGCUCUCCAAAAAACGCGGUUUAAUACUACACAUCAGCACACUGUCGCCCAAUGGCUGAACCGGCAGGGAUAUUAUUAAUUAACUUGAUGGCAAUUAAUGAAAUUUACGUAAGUAAAUUUUACCAGUGGUGUCCGAACGGACUUGAUGAAAGGGUGACGCUCCAGAGCGCGGCGCUACCUUCUUCUGUAGAGGAGACCUGGAUUAUCUCCCGAAGUUGAUGUUAUGCCUUAUGAUGAACUAUGUAGAAUGCAUAAGUACCCAAGGGAGUCACCACCCUCUGGUUUACGAACUAGGUGUUCUAAAGCUAGAGUCUUCGGCCGGAUACUGCUGUAGAUGAUGCUAGUACGACUUAUAGUAUUUCAGCAGAUUGUCCAACUUAAGAAGCAAUCUAGAAACUGGAAUUUGCUUGUAAAAAAUGAAAUACUACAAUAACAUAUUCCUAACAGUCCUGACACUCUUGGCUAACCUCCCAUGUUGAUGAAACCACAACAGUAGAUUAUCUUGAUUUGUUCACAAAUCUCAUAAUACUGGAUAGAACUACCUACCAGGAUUCUUCUUAAAAUUGAAUUGCUGGUAAACAAGUCUCUCGGGGAGGUUUAGCUCUUUUGAGAGGACGUGAGACAUUUUACUAGGGUUCAAUGCGGUGGUCAAUAUGAAAAAGCACUUUUCUUCAGCUGAAUCUUCCUUCUAUAAAUUAGAUUGUCGAACUUAUGAAGCAAUCUGGAACAUGGAAUUUGCUUGUAAAAAAUGGUAUAUUACAAUACAAUAUUCCUAACACUGGACUAACCUCCCUUAUGUUGAUGGAACAGCAGCAGUAGAUUGUCUAGACUUGUCACAAAUCUCAAAAUUGAUAGAGCUACCAGCAUUCUUCUUAAAAGUAUUUAUUUUGCUGCUUCUGGCUGUUGCUUCCCACCUGCUCUUCCUCAUCUUCAACAGGGUAAUACGUAGUAUUACGUAGUAAUAAAUUUUAUAUAGUAUUAAUAAAAAAUACUAUUAAAAAUUUAUUAUUGCUUAUUUUUUAUAAAGGUAUAUUUAAUAAAUUAAGUUACAUUAAUUAAUAGUGUUAAUAAAUAUAUAUAGUCUAUUAGCUAUAACGUCAAUGGAUUGGUUCUUCUAAUGGGUAUGCAACCAGAGAUACAUCAAUGGUGUAAUUCUGAAUUCCCAUUGUCUUUAAUUUUUAUAUUAUUUAGAUUCGUUUUAUUUUAUUAAAAAUGAUUAAAUUCAUCUAGAGUACUUACUUGAGUUAAGUAAUAUCCAUGCUAAUAUACUUUAUUACUACAAAAACACUACUUUUAUUCUUGUAUUAACGUAUUAAUGUAUAAAGUAUUGUAACUUUAAAUUUUCAAUUUUCGCGUCUAUUUGUAUUAGUUUAUUUUUUAGCUCAGUACAGUUAUACAGUUUACAGCUGAUAAUUAAACUAAUUAAAUACAGCAAUACAUAAAUAAAAUUAGUUUUUUAACAUAUGUUACAUGAAUGGCACACUUAUAUUUUAUUCUAUUUUACAUUAAUGCCGAUUAUAUUUUAUUUCUGUAAAACGAUAUGAGCAAUAUGAAUACAUUUAAUUUUGUCUCAAUACACAUUUUUAAUUUUUUUUUCAGUAUACAGUGGCAUAGCUUUUUAAAGACACGUAUAUAUUUUGUGGUAAACCUCUUAUUUCAGUUUUUUAAUUAUUAAUAUUAACCUCUUUUAUUAAUAUAAAAGGUGGCGUUAAAAGACGUUAAGAAUAAGGUGGUAUUUAUUAAUGAUUGGUAAUAUGUUUUAUACUUUGUCCCCUUUUGUAAAAUUGUAGCAAGUUUAAUUGUUUAAUUUUAGAAUUUUUCAUUUUUUAAUUGUUGCGUCUUAAAUUAAAUUAAAGAUAAUAAUCUAGAAGAGAACAUUAACUAAAUUUUUUAGUGUUAGUGUCAAUGCAAUGAACUCUUAUAACUGUAGAAUUUUAUUCUACUUGUAUUCAUAGAGCUCCGUUUAAAAAUUAAUAUAAGCACUUUAUAAGAAUAAUUAUUCUUCAUAUGCUGGCAUUUCAUAAAGUUUUUAUAUUCUACUCUUAAACAUUUUACUCAUUGUCUACAUUUUAUGUAUUCCUAAAUGAAUUUAGAGUUAUUUUUAAAAUUCUUUUUAUAUAUUUAUCUAUACAUAUUAUAACCAGUAGUAGCUAAGCAAGUUUUUAUUACCUGGAGGCUCAUACUUUCUGAGAAAUUAAAUUUUUAAAAAAGUAAUUUUUGUCAUAUGAAGAAUUAAUUUGUAGCAUAGAGUUCUUAUUUUAAUUAAUUUCUUAAUGAUGCUAAUAUAUUAUUUUAUUUAUAAUAUACUGCAAAAUAUAAUGCUAUCUUCUAUUUCUAAGUUAUUGUAACAGCUUUGUUCAAAGGACGGUAUUUUUAGACCAAUAUUUUUUUGGGAUGCUAAUAGAAACUUGUCACGUACCUAUAAUGAACCACCUAUAUCUUUAUGCGAAAAUGUAUGAGGUCUUUUAUUUGUAGGAUAUUAAAGGAUUGUGCUGCUGUGUAAAUCGACGAUGUAGAAAAGGUAAGAAUUAGAUUAGCGGCUGUCGUAGAUUUUUUCUCAACUUUUGCUUCGCUCCUAUAGUUCAUUCUUUCAUUAUUCCUAUUAUCCGUUAAAUGAUCCAACUACAACAUAACUUUGAAAAUUUCCAAAAAAAAAUUAUUUUUUGCUAAAAUUUUGAGUACCACUGCGGAUCUUUUCUGGAUUUUCUUUCUUGUAAAUUUAAUCUAAUACCUAU
Molecule: long non-coding RNA, 2844 nt
Filed under: Sitophilus oryzae (rice weevil)
Lineage: Eukaryota; Metazoa; Arthropoda; Insecta; Coleoptera; Curculionidae
Description: uncharacterized LOC115876752, transcript variant X2
Source: RNAcentral